Molecule: long non-coding RNA, 473 nt
Organism: Ananas comosus (pineapple)
Lineage: Eukaryota; Viridiplantae; Streptophyta; Magnoliopsida; Poales; Bromeliaceae
Exons: 3
Source: RefSeq, a predicted model, not a curated record
ACCUUGUACCGGUACACAGUGGCAGAUACGUGGCAGCAGGGCUGUUUUCGUAAUUUCACAUCUUGCCUCUAUCCUUAUCUACCCAGCACGCCCCCUGGAGGUCUUUGGAUGAUGCUAGAGCUCAGAGAAGUGCCUUUGCACCUCCCUCAUUUUCUCUCUCUAGGAUUUCUCUCUCUUUGAGUAGAAAUCGUCGAUUUGCGCUUAUUUCUCGCCGUUCUUCGCGCUAGCUGAUUUGCAGACUUUGGAGCAGCUACGAGUAGGUGGGAAGGACUCGCAGGGGAGGUAUUUUCGCAGCUCCAACUCACAGGGAAGUUGAGUUGAGGUUUAGUGAGAUGGUUUUGAGCUGUAAUUGAGGAACGGUUUUGUUGUAAUUCUUCACCCCAAAGUCAGAUUUGAAGCCUUGGAGGGUUCCGAAUUAAUUUGAGUUAAAUUGGUGACCUUGGGGACUGGUUUAGAAGGUGUUUUAACCUGGG